CAGCAAUCUUUGGCACUUUUUCAUGGAAAUCUAUUACAGUAAUGUACUUAAUUUUUAUCCAGAAGUGAUUUGAUAUUUAUAUAAAAAUGGCUGCAUUGGGCCUUUAAGUAGCUACCUUUAGCACGUCUCAGUACCUUAAAACAGUCUUAUGUGUUUGGUUAUACUGUAGUGGCAUGAGUCAUGAUGUCAAUGAUCACUCCUCCUAUACUGUAUGAGUCAUGUCAAGCUGAACAGGAUCAUCUUUUUUCUACACUAACUGUAUGAUGACCUACUACAGUAACUCCUUUUAUGAAAUUACAGACAGUGAUGUAGUCUAAUUGUUAGUGAGUUUUUAGAAUGGCAUAUCUAUAUCUCUGUGCAACUGAUGAGGUUAAAAUGUAGAAUGUUUUCUUAUGCUUGUUAGACAGCCUCUAAUUUCCCAGGACUUGAGCCUGAACCCAGGACUCACUGGAAAACAGUGGUAAGUGUAACUGACAAGUCAACUCAGCGACCCCGUUAUUUGUGUGAGAGCAGAGGUCAAGAAGACUUGUAAGCCUACUAACUGUUGCAUUUUAUUUUAUGUGUGCUCUUGUUGCACAAGCAAUUUCCCUGUCUAUACAACAAAUACAGUUGAACGUUCUUUCAUUGAGUGGAGCAAAUAUGUGUAAACUGUCUAAUUGUGUUGCAGAACAACAGCGGGACUCUGGCCACCUUCUCUCUUCCUCCACGGAUGACCUACCCAGUCCAGAUCCCUGCAGGGUUCACAACGCAGACAUCCUCUGGCCAGCUUUACAUGGUCAACUUUAUAGUGAUGGUGUCCCAGGUUCCAGCCGGCCACAGCCCUCUCCCAGCUCCAGAAGGGGGUACCUGUAGUGGAGUGGAAAGAUCCCAGCUCAUCUUCCCAGCAGUCAGCUAUAGUGGUCCCUUCUACUGUCCUCAAGACCAUGACCACUCCGAAGACAGAUCUGUUCUCCCCACGACCUGUGGCCCCUCCCACAGCUGUACCUCAGACACCAGAGCAGACCCUGAUACGUCCAGUCCAGGUGAUGCCUCCGGUCCAGGUGAACCACCAUCUUGAUGUUUUUGUAGCACUUUGAAAUGUUUUUGAAAUAUGUUUUACAAAUAAAAUGUAUUAUUAUUAUUCCCCAGCCACCUGAUGAGAAGCCUGUGCUACACAAACCCGUGGUCCAGCCCCCAGUUCAGGAGAACCAUCUCCUUCAGCAGCCAAAGGUUCCUUUAGCUCAGGCACGCUUUUCUGUGCAGACUCCAGUGUCCUUUUAUUUUCGUCCCAACCGCCAUCUCACCCCCCAGAGAGCCCUUUCGACAGUGGUGAUUUCAAUCUGGAUGGGAUUGACUUCGACAGUCCACAGCAGCUAGACAUGAGCCUGUCCUCAUCCCUUUCCUCUGGCUCCGCCCAGAUGUCAAGCCUUUAGGUAAAGUAUUAUAUGUUUUUU
RNAcentral lists this long non-coding RNA (1433 nucleotides) under Oncorhynchus kisutch (coho salmon). RNAcentral's name for it is "lncRNA (ENSOKIG00005009456.1)". The record is from RNAcentral. Lineage: Eukaryota; Metazoa; Chordata; Actinopteri; Salmoniformes; Salmonidae.